GCAUGUCAAGGCAAGCGUAGCUUCGACGCCGACGUCGGCGUCAACUGCGGCGUUGGCGGCAGCGUCGUUGCUAAGUUUUGUGACCCUUUUCGGCAGACACUUUUUUUCCCUCCUCGCUUUGUUUACUGUUGUUGUUGGCGUUGUAGUGUUAACCGCCAGUGUGUACAUACGUUGAAGUAAUUAAAGCGUUGCCAGCUGACGUCACUGACGUUGAGUGGCUUCUUCUACGAUUACUGUUUGCUGCUGGUCGCGCAUGAGCAAGAGAAUGCACUCCCGCACAAGGACACGUGCCUGGGCAAUGUCACGCAACAGGCGCUCCUUUGGGGCACGCAAUCCAAUUGUUGUUGGUCCCAAAUUGCUUUGCAUCUCUGCUAUGGUCCGCAACAGGCUGCCAUAGACAUCCACUAUGUUGGGCGUUUCUGUGUUGGUUGUAGGUGCUUGGCAGAGACAGAGACAGAGUCGGAGCAGUGUGGCAGGCGGUCAAGCGUGCUUCCCGCACGCAGAUACUUGGAUUCGUUCUACCCCCAAAGCGAGCACAACGUGUGGGGCAUGACGACGGUGACGCAUGGAAUUGAAAUAGAAAGAGGCACCUGGAAGCGUGUUUUUUUGUUUUCCAGAAUUUGUUAUUAUGGUGGCUAGAAUUUACGAGUUUAACAAUAAAGGUGUACAACAAAAUUUUGGAUGCUACAGAGUCAAGUUCGAAUUGUUCUUCAAUUGCUGUUCAGCUGCUGGGCCUGCAGCAGAUCUUUGAGAUCGCGUUUUGAUGGCUCGCCGCACUCGAAUCGAUGAUAGUCAACGAUGUCAACGCCGCGCUCUUUGAGCACUUCGCCCACCGUCUUAUCGGCAUCGAGCAGAUAUUCCUGAUAAAUGAGACACGUCUCAUCAUCUUUAUUCUCCGCCGGCUUAUCCUUGCCAUAUUCGCCAAUUUUGAUGGGUUUCAUGCCAACAAUUUGCUGACAAAUUCCCUUUUGCACUUCCAGAUCCUCAAAGU
Molecule: long non-coding RNA, 991 nt
Organism: Drosophila nasuta
Lineage: Eukaryota; Metazoa; Arthropoda; Insecta; Diptera; Drosophilidae
Exons: 3
Source: RefSeq, a predicted model, not a curated record